RNAcentral lists this ribosomal RNA (386 nucleotides) under uncultured Gammaproteobacteria bacterium. Its description in RNAcentral is "partial 16S ribosomal RNA". It matches the Rfam family "Bacterial small subunit ribosomal RNA", at positions 29 to 306 of the family's 1533-position model. The record is from RNAcentral. Lineage: Bacteria; Pseudomonadati; Pseudomonadota; Gammaproteobacteria.
AACGAACGCUGGCGGCAGGCCUAACACAUGCAAGUCGAGGGACCCGCUUGCGGGGACCGGCGGACGGGUGAGUAACGCGUGGGGAUCUGCCCAAAGGUGCGGGAUAGCCUCGGGAAACUGGGAUUAAUACCGCAUAUAGAUUUCUGUAUCUUGGCUCUCAGAACGAAGUGACUGAGUUGAAAGUUGGCGAGGCCAUCUCCUCAAGUAGCCGCAAGGCGAUAGGAGUGGGUUAGCAAAGUUUCAAUAGAGGCACUUGGUUCUUGGAACCAAGGUGCCGAGAUUGAAAGAUUAAUUUCGCCUUUGGAUGAACCCGCGUUAGAUUAGCUUGUUGGUGAGGUAAUGGCUCACCAAGGCGACGAUCUAUAGCUGGUCUGAGAGGAUGAUCA